RNAcentral lists this ribosomal RNA (460 nucleotides) under uncultured bacterium. Its description in RNAcentral is "partial 16S ribosomal RNA". It matches the Rfam family "Bacterial small subunit ribosomal RNA", at positions 355 to 833 of the family's 1533-position model. The record is from RNAcentral.
UGGGGAAUAUUGGACAAUGGGGGCAACCCUGAUCCAGCAAUGCCGCGUGUGUGAAGAAGGUCUUCGGAUUGUAAAGCACUUUCGACGGGGACGAUGAUGACGGUACCCGUAGAAGAAGCCCCGGCUAACUUCGUGCCAGCAGCCGCGGUAAUACGAAGGGGGCUAGCGUUGCUCGGAAUGACUGGGCGUAAAGGGCGUGUAGGCGGUUUACACAGUCAGAUGUGAAAUCCCCGGGCUUAACCUGGGAGCUGCAUUUGAUACGUGUAGACUAGAGUGUGAGAGAGGGUUGUGGAAUUCCCAGUGUAGAGGUGAAAUUCGUAGAUAUUGGGAAGAACACCGGUGGCGAAGGCGGCAACCUGGCUCAUGACUGACGCUGAGGCGCGAAAGCGUGGGGAGCAAACAGGUUAGAUACCCUGGUAGUCCACGCUGUAAACGAUGUGUGCUAGAUGUUGGGUAACUU